AUGUUUCGGCAAAUCUGUGCUGCAGUUCAUGAUUUUGUGCUCCUUUCAUCAAAUUUAUAUUUUUCUCCAGACAGGCCCUGCCAGGUGAUGGAUGUCCCGAGAGACGGAAUCACCAGUGGAUAUGGAGGUGGACAGAGAGCAGCCCGUCCUUCUCCUAAGGACGUGCCACCCCAGCUGGAGACUCCCAGAAAUCCGCCGUCUAUGUUCCGAUCCAUCCUGCAGUCUUACCUGUAUGGGAAUGUGAGGCCCCAAUGGCCUACCAGGCAGCUUCUGCAGACAAAGUGGCUGCAGGUGAAACACCUCUCCAGGGAUGGGCUUUGUCAUCAGCUAAACUCAGAGGCAUCAGGAGGCCUCCUCUCCU
RNAcentral lists this long non-coding RNA (361 nucleotides) under Manacus vitellinus (golden-collared manakin). RNAcentral describes it as "lncRNA (ENSMVIG00005011545.1)". Lineage: Eukaryota; Metazoa; Chordata; Aves; Passeriformes; Pipridae. The record is from RNAcentral.